This 223-nucleotide long non-coding RNA is filed under the name Homo sapiens (human). Its description in RNAcentral is "LNC_000822". The record is from RNAcentral. Lineage: Eukaryota; Metazoa; Chordata; Mammalia; Primates; Hominidae.
CCAGGGUUUUUCUAUGCACAUAGAUAUAGUGCCUGGCACACAGUAGACACUCAAUAAAUAUCUCCGGAAAUAAAGGGAAAGGUGGCAAAAGGCGAUGUGGAGGUGUCCGCCCUUCCGGGGUUUUUACCCUCGGCAGUUUGAUGUCCUUUGUGUCAAGGUCUGGCUGCGGAGGCCGGGAAAAUGUGGCCCCCGUCAGUAAGGGUUGGGCAGGGAGCUUGGCGUG